This 1104-nucleotide ribosomal RNA is filed under the name Triticum aestivum (bread wheat). Its description in RNAcentral is "partial small subunit ribosomal RNA". The record is from RNAcentral. Lineage: Eukaryota; Viridiplantae; Streptophyta; Magnoliopsida; Poales; Poaceae.
AUGGAGGAGGAGGACAACUUCCAUCCUUUUAUUCGUUGUCAGUUUGGACAUGAUCUAUAUGUUUCAAUGGCUGCGAGUUGGCGCAUCCCUGCACUGGAGUCUAUACAGAAUGUUGGGAAGGAAUGGAUUCUUCAUGUUUUAGCCCCGCUGGAUGAGGUUCAGAGAUGCAUGUUGCUGUUGAUUUUUUGGAGAAGUUGGUUCGUUCGUAAUGAGGUAACACAUGCGAAGCCUGCUCCACCGUUGGCAGUAUCCGUCAGCUUUCUUCAGAGGUAUUUGGACGAGUUAAUUGGAGUUAGAACUAAUGCCCAGUGUGAUCCAGUAAAAGGAAAACUAAGUAUUUCUUAUGACCUAGUUAAUCUUAAAGGAAAGGCUCCUGUACAGGAGUCAGCCUGGGUCCUGCCGCGCCCUGGAUGGGUUAAGCUGAAUACUGAUGGUGCUUUCUCGUUGGUCGAUGGAGCAGGUGCUGGGAUGAUCUUACGUGAUAGUGCAGGCAGUAUAAUUUUUUCAGCCUGCAGAUCCCUGUUCUCUUGCAGGGAUGCAUUGGAAUCGGAGCUAUGCGCAUGUAUGGAAGGAUUGUCUUUUGCGAUCCAAAGAUCGGACCUUCCGAUAGAAGUCGAGAUGGACUCAAAUACUGCAGUGGCUAUGAUCACAGGAGUGGAGACAGACCGGUCGAUCUAUGCUUCUCUGGUGGCAGAAAUUAAGUACUUACUUAGUCUUCGGAUUUCUUGUAUUACUCUUGUUCCUCGGUGUCAGAAUAAGGCGAGCGAUAAACUAGCUAGUUUUGCUAGAGCCGAGGGUCGGACAAUUACGUGGGUUGGGUCAGGCUCGGAUGAGGUAGUGUCGAUUGUCCGAGAUGAUUUAUGGCACAUGCUAAGAGCACGAGUGAGCCGCGACCCGGUCGAUUGCGCAUGUACGUACGAGAACGCACGGAGAUUUGGUCGCGCUUCCAAGCACACGCACGCCCGGAGAGGGAAAGGGUCUCCACAAAAUAUGACAAAGCGGCCGAGCUACUUUCGUCGGCAUAGUAAGCAUCUUUCGAGGUUGUACAAGAAGAAGAAGAAGAAGAAGAAGAAGAAGAAGAAUAAAAUCGCAUGCUAUGUUUGA